Molecule: ribosomal RNA, 451 nt
Filed under: uncultured bacterium
Lineage: Bacteria
Description: bacterial SSU rRNA
Rfam family: Bacterial small subunit ribosomal RNA
Source: RNAcentral
AACGAACGCUGGCGGCAGGCCUAACACAUGCAAGUCGAACGCUCGUAGCAAUACGGGAGUGGCAGACGGGUGCGUAACGCGUGGGAACAUACCCUUUGGUUCGGAAUAACUCAGGGAAACUUGAGCUAAUACCGGAUACGCCCGAGAGGGGAAAGAUUUAUUGCCGAAGGAUUGGCCCGCGUCUGAUUAGCUAGUUGGUGAGGUAACGGCUCACCAAGGCGACGAUCAGUAGCUGGUCUGAGAGGAUGAUCAGCCACACUGGGACUGAGACACGGCCCAGACUCCUACGGGAGGCAGCAGUGGGGAAUAUUGGACAAUGGGCGCAAGCCUGAUCCAGCCAUGCCGCGUGAGUGAUGACGGCCUUAGGGUUGUAAAGCUCUUUUACCCGGGAAGAUAAUGACGGUACCGGGAGAAUAAGCCCGGCUAACUUCGUGCCAGCAGCCGCGGUAAU